Molecule: ribosomal RNA, 405 nt
Filed under: uncultured Blastocatella sp.
Lineage: Bacteria; Pseudomonadati; Acidobacteriota; Blastocatellia; Blastocatellales; Blastocatellaceae
Description: bacterial SSU rRNA
Rfam family: Bacterial small subunit ribosomal RNA
Source: RNAcentral
GUCGGGAAUUUUGGGCAAUGGGCGAAAGCCUGACCCAGCAACGCCGCGUGAAGGACGAAGUCUUUCGGGAUGUAAACUUCGUAAGAAUAGGAAGAAUAAAUGACGGUACUAUUUGUAAGGUCCGGCUAACUACGUGCCAGCAGCCGCGGUAAUACGUAGGGACCAAGCGUUGUUCGGAUUUACUGGGCGUAAAGGGCGCGUAGGCGGCAAUUCAAGUCAGUUGUGAAAUCUCCGAGCUUAACUCGGAACGGUCAACUGAUACUGUUUUGCUAGAGUACAGAAGGGGCAAUCGGAAUUCUUGGUGUAGCGGUGAAAUGCGUAGAUAUCAAGAGGAACACCUGAGGUGAAGACGGGUUGCUGGGCUGAUACUGACGCUGAGGCGCGAAAGCUAGGGUAGCAAACGGG